Molecule: ribosomal RNA, 251 nt
Filed under: uncultured Eubacteriales bacterium
Lineage: Bacteria; Bacillati; Bacillota; Clostridia; Eubacteriales
Description: uncultured Clostridiales bacterium partial 16S ribosomal RNA
Rfam family: Bacterial small subunit ribosomal RNA
Source: RNAcentral
GGACUGAGCGGCGGACGGGUGAGUAACGCGUGAGUAACCUGCCUCAUACAGGGGAAUAACAGUUAGAAAUGACUGCUAAUGCCGCAUAAGCGCACAGGGCCGCAUGGCCCGGUGUGAAAAACUCCGGUGGUAUGAGAUGGACUCGCGUCUGAUUAGCUAGUUGGCAGGGUAACGGCCUACCAAGGCGACGAUCAGUAGCCGGCCUGAGAGGGUGAACGGCCACAUUGGGACUGAGACACGGCCCAAACUCC